AGAGUUUGAUCAUGGCUCAGGACGAACGCUGGCGGCGUGCUUAAUACAUGCAAGUCGAGCGAGGUUACUGCGACAGAUCCCUUCGGGGUGAAGUUGCUUUAGCCUACCGGCGGACGGGUGAGUAACGCGUGGGUAACCUACCCUAAAGUUCCGGAUAACAGCGGGAAACCGCUGCUAAUACCGGAUGCCUUUACCAUGUGGCAUCACGAGGUAAAGAAAGGUAACGCUUUAUGAUGGGCCCGCGUCCCAUUAUCUAGUUGGUGAGGUAACAGCUCACCAAGGCGACGAUGGGUAGCCGGCCUGAGAGGGUGGACGGCCACACUGGGACUGAGACACGGCCCAGACUCCUACGGGAGGCAGCAGUAGGGAAUAUUGCGCAAUGGACGGAAGUCUGACGCAGCGACGCCGCGUGAGCGAUGAAGGCCUUCGGGUCGUAAAGCUCUGUCCUUGGGGAAGAAGGUCUUCUGACUUGACGGUACCCAAGAAGAAAGCCCCGGCUAACUACGUGCCAGCAGCCGCGGUAAUACGUAUGGGGCGAGCGUUGUCCGGAAUUACUGGGCGUAAAGGGUGCGUAGGCGGCCCUUUAAGUCAGAUGUGAAAGCCCGCAGCUUAACUGCGGAAUUGCAUUUGAAACUGGAGGGCUUGAGUGUCGGAGAGGGUAGUGGAAUUCCCAGUGUAGCGGUGAAAUGCAUAGAUAUUGGGAGGAACACCAGUGGCGAAGGCGACUGCCUGGACGAUAACUGACGCUGAGGCACGAAAGCUAGGGGAGCAAACAGGAUUAGAUACCCUGGUAGUCCUAGCCGUAAACGAUGGGUACUAGGUGUAGGUGGUUUCGAUACCAUCUGUGCCGUAGUUAACGCAUUAAGUACCCCGCCUGGGGAGUACGUGCGCAGGCAUGAAACUCAAAUGAAUUGACGG
RNAcentral lists this ribosomal RNA (918 nucleotides) under uncultured bacterium. RNAcentral describes it as "bacterial SSU rRNA". It matches the Rfam family "Bacterial small subunit ribosomal RNA", at positions 8 to 916 of the family's 1533-position model. The record is from RNAcentral.